RNAcentral lists this transfer RNA (88 nucleotides) under bacterium. RNAcentral's name for it is "tRNA-Leu". It matches the Rfam family "tRNA". From Rfam's summary of the family: Transfer RNA (tRNA) molecules are approximately 80 nucleotides in length. Their secondary structure includes four short double-helical elements and three loops (D, anti-codon, and T loops). The record is from RNAcentral.
GCGGAUGUGGCGGAAUUGGUAGACGCGCUAGCUUCAGGAGCUAGUGAGCAUUACGCUCGUGGAGGUUCAAGUCCUCUUAUCCGCACCA